This 724-nucleotide ribosomal RNA is filed under the name uncultured bacterium. RNAcentral's name for it is "bacterial SSU rRNA". It matches the Rfam family "Bacterial small subunit ribosomal RNA", at positions 28 to 762 of the family's 1533-position model. The record is from RNAcentral.
GACGAACGCUGGCGGCGUGCCUAACACAUGCAAGUCGAGCGGGGACUUGGGAGCUUGCUCCCGGGUUCUAGCGGCGGACGGGUGAGUAACGCGUGAGCAACCUGCCUCGAACUGGGGGAUAACGCAUCGAAAGAUGUGCUAAUACCGCGUAAGACCACAGCGCCACAUGGCGCAGGGGUCAAAGGAGCAAUCCGGUUUGAGAUGGGCUCGCGUCCGAUUAGCUAGUUGGUGAGAUAACAGCCCACCAAGGCGACGAUCGGUAGCCGACCUGAGAGGGUGAUCGGCCACAUUGGAACUGAGACACGGUCCAGACUCCUACGGGAGGCAGCAGUGGGGAAUAUUGGGCAAUGGGCGAAAGCCUGACCCAGCAACGCCGCGUGAGGGAAGAAGGGUUUCGGCUCGUAAACCUCUGUCCUAUGGGACGAAUAAGGUGACGGUACCAUAGGAGGAAGCCCCGGCUAACUACGUGCCAGCAGCCGCGGUAAUACGUAGGGGGCGAGCGUUGUCCGGAAUGAUUGGGCGUAAAGGGCGCGUAGGCGGCCUGGUAAGUCUGGAGUGAAAGUCCUGCUUUUAAGGUGGGAAUUGCUUUGGAAACUGCUAGGCUCGAGUGCAGGAGAGGAAAGCGGAAUUACCGGUGUAGCGGUGAAAUGCGUAGAGAUCGGUAGGAACACCAGUGGCGAAGGCGGCUUUCUGGACUGAAACUGACGCUGAGGCGCGAAAGCGU